This 253-nucleotide ribosomal RNA is filed under the name uncultured bacterium. RNAcentral describes it as "partial 16S ribosomal RNA". It matches the Rfam family "Bacterial small subunit ribosomal RNA", at positions 524 to 776 of the family's 1533-position model. The record is from RNAcentral. RNAcentral also lists the same sequence under 1 other name.
UACGGAGGGUGCAAGCGUUGUUCGGAAUCACUGGGCGUAAAGGGCGUGUAGGCGGUCCGCUAAGUCUGAUGUGAAAGCCCGAGGCUUACCCUCGGAAGUGCAUUGGAGACUGGCGGACUAGAGUCCCGGAGAGGAGGGUGGAAUUCCUGGUGUAGCGGUGAAAUGCGUAGAUAUCAGGAGGAACACCGGUGGCGAAGGCGGCCCUCUGGACGGUGACUGACGCUGAGACGCGAAAGCGUGGGGAGCAAACAGG